GGGGUUGUGGCUCAGCGGUAGAGAGCUCUCCUAGUACGUGUGAGACCCUGCGUUCAAUCCUCAACACCACA
This 71-nucleotide transfer RNA is filed under the name Marmota monax (woodchuck). RNAcentral describes it as "tRNA.Thr". The record is from RNAcentral. Lineage: Eukaryota; Metazoa; Chordata; Mammalia; Rodentia; Sciuridae.